This is a transfer RNA of Camelus ferus (Wild Bactrian camel), 72 nucleotides long. It matches the Rfam family "tRNA". From Rfam's summary of the family: Transfer RNA (tRNA) molecules are approximately 80 nucleotides in length. Their secondary structure includes four short double-helical elements and three loops (D, anti-codon, and T loops). Lineage: Eukaryota; Metazoa; Chordata; Mammalia; Artiodactyla; Camelidae. The record is from Rfam.
GAGGGUAUAGCUCAGUGGUAGAGGCCAUGUUUAGCAUGCAUGAGGUCCUGGGUUCAAUCCCCAGUAACUCCA